Molecule: long non-coding RNA, 1080 nt
Filed under: Bemisia tabaci
Lineage: Eukaryota; Metazoa; Arthropoda; Insecta; Hemiptera; Aleyrodidae
Description: lncRNA ENSSWEETPG011541
Source: RNAcentral
CGGGGGUGCGAUGUGCGGGGGAGGGGGAUCGGAGGGGUGCACUGAUGACGGGUCGCCAUGGAAACGGAGGAGAAACUACGUGUUGCUUUGAAGCGGGCGCGUCGGUGAGAGUCGGGAACAAUUUCAACCAAGUUGCGUGACGUCUCGGUUCGGCUUAACUGUGUGCGUUCCCGCGUUGUUCCUCCCUCUGAUUGUUCCCUCAGGACUCGGCAUCUGAUUUGUCUCCACUCCCGCCCUAGUUUACCCAAAACAAAAUGAAGACCUCCUCGUUUUCUCUCCGGGUCAUGCGAAGAGCUCGGAAUAAAUCGGCAGACGGCGGUCACGUGAACCAGAAAGGGCAGCCCGGUCAAAACCCCCGAAUCAGAAUCAGAAAAACAUCCAGAACAAGCCCGGCCAAAAGGGGGGCUCAAAACAGGCGCCCUCCUCGCAGAAAGGACAGGUGAAGACCCCUCCACAACGGACUGAUUCGACGACACCACCCCCUGCCCCGCGACCGAAACCGGCCCCCGUGAAGCGACCCCAAAAAGGGAAACGACGCCAAUAUGAUCUCAUCGUCACCAUCGACUUGGUAAGCUACGCAUUCUUUAAAAUAUUACCGAUGUCGCAAAUCCUGAAAUGGGUCAGUUGCGCCGGUCACAGAAUCGCGCUAUGGUGAUUUAUUCUUGAAGAUCAACUAAAAGUAAUAAGAUCCGUCCAAACAUAAACUUUCUACGUUCAAUAAUAGCCGAUAUAUCGCGCCUUGAAAAACUCUAUUAAUGACGUCAUCCACCGCGGUAGUACAUACCAUGUUAUGCACUGCCGUGGUGGAUGGCGUCAAAAACCCGACUUCUCAAAGGACGAUAUCUCGGAUAAUAUUCAACGUAGAAAGUUGCUGUUUGGAUAGAUGUUAUUAUUUUUAGCUUACCUACCUACAAGAAUCGAGCAUCAAAACAGGAUUCUGUUAGCAGCACAACUGGCCCAUUUAGUUUUAAGUAAUUUGAAGCGACGCUCUCCUUCCGUCGAACGAUGCCCCUUUUAAAAUUAAAAUUUUAUCCCACGCUCGGCAACAACGUCGUUUCACCGUUGCCAACUCGUGAGCAU